UCCGGUGCAUUAGUGCUGGUAUGAUCGCAU
This 30-nucleotide small nuclear RNA is filed under the name Arabidopsis thaliana (thale cress). Its description in RNAcentral is "snRNA_08132". Lineage: Eukaryota; Viridiplantae; Streptophyta; Magnoliopsida; Brassicales; Brassicaceae. The record is from RNAcentral.